AUUGAACGCUGGCGGCAGGCUUAACACAUGCAAGUCGAGCGGGGACUUCGGUCCUAGCGGCGGACGGGUGAGUAAUACUUGGGAAUCUACCUAGUAGUGGGGGACAACGGUUCGAAAGGAACGCUAAUACCGCAUACGCCCUACGGGGGAAAGGGGGGGAUCUUCGGACCUCUCGCUAUUAGAUGAGCCCAAGUCGGAUUAGCUAGUUGGUGGGGUAAAGGCCUACCAAGGCGACGAUCCGUAGCUGGUCUGAGAGGAUGAUCAGCCACACUGGAACUGAGACACGGUCCAGACUCCUACGGGAGGCAGCAGUGGGGAAUAUUGGACAAUGGGCGAAAGCCCGAUCCAGCCAUGCCGCGUGUGUGAAGAAGGCCUUCGGGUUGUAAAGCACUUUAAGCGAGGAGGAAGGGUUCUUAAUUAAUACUUAAGAGCAUUGACGUUACUCGCAGAAUAAGCACCGGCUAACUCUGUGCCAGCAGCCGCGGUAAUACAGAGGGUGCAAGCGUUAAUCGGAAUUACUGGGCGUAAAGCGCGCGUAGGCGGUUGUAUAAGUUGGAUGUGAAAUCCCUGGGCUUAACCUAGGCACUGCAUUCAAAACUGUACAGCUAGAGUGUAGGAGAGGAAGGUAGAAUUCCAGGUGUAGCGGUGAAAUGCGUAGAGAUCUGGAGGAAUACCGAUGGCGAAGGCAGCCUUCUGGCCUAACACUGACGCUGAGGUGCGAAAGCAUGGGGAGCAAACAGGAUUAGAUACCCUGGUAGUCCAUGCCGUAAACGAUGUCUACUAGCCGGUGGGGGACUUGAUCCUUUAGUGGCGCAGCUAACGCAUUAAGUAGACCGCCUGGGGAGUACGGUCGCAAGACUAAAACUCAAAUGAAUUGACGGGGGCCCGCACAAGCGGUGGAGCAUGUGGUUUAAUUCGAUGCAACGCGAAGAACCUUACCUGGCCUUAACAUGUCUGGAAUCCUGUAGAGAUACGGGAGUGCCUUCGGGAGUCAGAACACAGGUGCUGCAUGGCUGUCGUCAGCUCGUGUCGUGAGAUGUUGGGUUAAGUCCCGCAACGAGCGCAACCCUUGUCCUUAGUUGCCAGCACGUAAUGGUGGGAACUCUAGGGAGACUGCCGGUGACAAACCGGAGGAAGGCGGGGACGACGUCAAGUCAUCAUGGCCCUUACGGCCAGGGCUACACGCGUGCUACAAUGGUCGGUACAGAGGGUUGCUAGCCCGCGAGGGUACGCUAAUCUCACAAAGCCGAUCGUAGUCCGGAUUGGAGUCUGCAACUCGACUCCAUGAAGUCGGAAUCGCUAGUAAUCGCGGAUCAGAAUGCCGCGGUGAAUACGUUCCCGGGCCUCGUACACACUGCCCGUCACACCAUGGGAGUUUGUUGCACCAGAAGUAGUUAGCCUAACCGCAAGGGGGGGGAUUACCACGGUGUGGCCAAUGACUGGGGUG
RNAcentral lists this ribosomal RNA (1447 nucleotides) under uncultured bacterium. RNAcentral's name for it is "bacterial SSU rRNA". It matches the Rfam family "Bacterial small subunit ribosomal RNA". The record is from RNAcentral.